RNAcentral lists this ribosomal RNA (483 nucleotides) under uncultured bacterium. RNAcentral's name for it is "partial 16S ribosomal RNA". It matches the Rfam family "Bacterial small subunit ribosomal RNA", at positions 28 to 523 of the family's 1533-position model. The record is from RNAcentral.
GACGAACGCUGGCGGCGUGCUUAACACAUGCAAGUCGAACGAUGAAGCCGGAGCUUGCUCCGGUGGAUUAGUGGCGAACGGGUGAGUAACACGUGAGCAAUCUGCCCUUGACUCUGGGAUAACUGCGGGAAACUGUAGCUAAUACCGAAUACGACACCUUGGGGCAUCCCAGGAUGUGGAAAGAAUUUCGGUCAAGGAUGAGCUCGCGGCCUACCAGCCAGUUGGUGAGGUAAUGGCUCACCAAGGCGACGACGGGUAGCCGGCCUGAGAGGGUGACCGGCCACACUGGAACUGAGACACGGUCCAGACUCCUACGGGAGGCAGCAGUGGGGAAUAUUGCACAAUGGGCGAAAGCCUGAUGCAGCAACGCCGCGUGAGGGAUGAAGGCCUUCGGGUUGUAAACCUCUUUUAGCAGGGAUGAAGCGAAAGUGACGGUACCUGCAGAAAAAGCACCGGCUAACUACGUGCCAGCCGCCGCAGUAA